UACGUAGGUGGCAAGCGUUACUCGGAAUUAUUAGGCGUAAAGCGCUCGUAGGCGGUUCGAUAAGUCUUUUGUGAAAGCUCCCGGCUUAACUGGGAGAGGUCAAGAGAAACUGUCGAGCUAGAGUGUGGUAGAGGAUACUGGAAUUCCCGGUGUAGCGGUGAAAUGCGUAGAUAUCGGGAGGAAUACCUAUGGCGAAAGCAGGUAUCUGGGCCAUCACUGACGCUGAGGUGCGAAAGCUAGGGGAGCAAACAGG
This 253-nucleotide ribosomal RNA is filed under the name uncultured bacterium. RNAcentral describes it as "partial 16S ribosomal RNA". It matches the Rfam family "Bacterial small subunit ribosomal RNA", at positions 524 to 776 of the family's 1533-position model. The record is from RNAcentral.